UCAACAAAGGGAAUCCGCGCUCGCGACGAGGCGCUGGCGCUUGCGGCGAUCAGUCCGCGUCGCCAGUUCCUGCUCCGAUCGGUUCUUUGCUUCGCGUUUUCGAGUCAGACGCAUUGUAUGUUCCGCGAGUUAUCCGAAGCAGUGCUCAAAAAUGUUCGGUGAAAAGUAGUCACUGGAUGGGGUCAAUCGAGACCCACGGACGACGAAUAGUGUGAGAGAAAAGAGACAAGGUGCAGAAAUUUGUGAUUUUGGUGCGGAGCCUAAUUUGAUAUUCUGCGAUUGGAGUAACAGAAACUCAACCAAUUAAGAUGGGAGCUGGGUGCAGGAACCUUAGCAAACUGGAUUGGUGGACCCAGUAAAGAUGCAGGCAGUGAUGACAACAGCAAAGGAGGCUAUAUUUUCUUUGAGACUUCUUUGCUAGCUGCACCAGUCUUGCGAAUUGAGGACAUUGGAGUUAGAGAUGGUCAAAAUGCCUACAUUGAAAGUGCCAUUCAGAUGUCAACAGGAGCAGAAGGAAAAUGUGUCUCUUCAGGUAAUUCCUUAACGCUUGAAUGAAAAAGGCAAUUUUUAUGUUACCUAAUGGUAUCGGUGUCGCAUGCAAAACAUAAAUCAAGCAUUUUGUCAAAUGCCGAAGCAAAUAGUCAAUACUUUACUUUCAUUGAUUUUUGACAAAAUGAUGAGCUUGUUU
Molecule: long non-coding RNA, 688 nt
Filed under: Bemisia tabaci
Lineage: Eukaryota; Metazoa; Arthropoda; Insecta; Hemiptera; Aleyrodidae
Description: lncRNA ENSSSA2NGG009001
Source: RNAcentral